GGGAGUAUGGCUCAGUGGUAGAGUGCAUGCUUAGCAUGCACGAGGUCCUGGGUUCAAUCUCCAGCACCUCCA
RNAcentral lists this transfer RNA (72 nucleotides) under Camelus bactrianus (Bactrian camel). It matches the Rfam family "tRNA". From Rfam's summary of the family: Transfer RNA (tRNA) molecules are approximately 80 nucleotides in length. Their secondary structure includes four short double-helical elements and three loops (D, anti-codon, and T loops). RNAcentral also lists the same sequence under 3 other names. Lineage: Eukaryota; Metazoa; Chordata; Mammalia; Artiodactyla; Camelidae. The record is from Rfam by way of RNAcentral.